GCCCGGGUGGUCUAGUGGUAUGAUUCUCGCUUAGGGUUCACCCUAUGCAAAUGCAAGUAUGCGAGAGGGCCCGCGUUCGAUCCGCGGCUCGGGCC
Molecule: non-coding RNA, 95 nt
Organism: Aspergillus versicolor CBS 583.65
Lineage: Eukaryota; Fungi; Ascomycota; Eurotiomycetes; Eurotiales; Aspergillaceae
Source: the annotation of a RefSeq genome assembly